This 2477-nucleotide unclassified non-coding RNA is filed under the name Leishmania donovani. RNAcentral describes it as "gene:LdHU3.31.0470(CDS-product:hypothetical_prote in_conserved)". Lineage: Eukaryota; Euglenozoa; Kinetoplastea; Trypanosomatida; Trypanosomatidae. The record is from RNAcentral.
ACUGCUCUUCACCGGCCAUGCGGCGCACUUGUCAUCUCUUCGCCGGGUCUGUGCUCGAUGCGCCGUCGCUCGAGUUGCGCAGGGCAGCUCAACGAGUAGCACGCGCUGAGACCCGUCGCCUGCGGGAGAAAAAAGCGGUAACAAACCCCUACCACAAGGAGCAGUACAUCAGUGCUUUUCUCGAGGCUCACAGCACAGCGCUGGUGCAUCAGCACGUCGUCUCCACGUCUGCCAGUGCCAAGCACAUCGACGAAACGCCCGCGACGUCACUUACCGCCGCACAGGAACUGACGACCCUGGCGCAGGAGCUGGACGCACGUUAUGCUACUCAUGACUCCCCGGCAAGGCUGGCCCGCUCAAGCGCUGAGGCGUCGCCCGCUGACAGCGCUACUCGGCCGAGCAUCGGCUCUCUAUGGCCCACUCCUCGCAUCAUGUUUGGUGCGUGGCGCAGCACGAGUGGUGGAGACACGCGUCUGCGACAGCGCCUGCGCUCGGCUGAUGUGAUGCGGCACUGCGUGAUCCGCGAAGCCCGCACGCCACCAUCCCUCUCGCCGGAGGUGAUCGAGCGGAUGCUGCCGCCGCGGCUUCCGGCGCCAGCACAGCGCUUAAUGGUCUACUUAAAAUCCGAGCGCUUCCAGCGUAGUCCGGCCCCGGAGACCUGUGAUCGACUAGAGUCUCUUCUCUCGGCGGCUCUGCGUGCACUUCACUACUCACAUGAGAUGCAGCGAGCCGUUGCCCUCUACGCAGUUCUGUGUCUCAGCACCUUCAGGGACUGGCACAUGGCCUCCGCCAUUGUGGUGUCUCUGGUGCAGCGGUGGUCGGCACUGGUUGCGCUGCCCGCUAUGAGCUCGUCUGAGUCGAUGAAGGCUGUGCACGAGGAUCGCUCGCACAUGAUCGCGCUGUUCCUGGAGACUGUGCGAUGCAGUAGCUCGAGGCCCUUCUUCACUGCACCGUCCUUGGAGGAGCUAGAUAAGGUGUGUGUGGCACUACACAAGCCAUUUGAGGAAGCGGAUGCUGGCGCGAUCGCAUGUAUCACGCACGGAGGCAGAUCUCUCGACGAUAACGGCACGAAGAGCAACGGCACUGCUGCUGCCUUCUCGCCUCGCUGGGAUCCUGUCGUGUCGGCACCGCUGCUGUCGGUGAUGGGUUUGCACAGGCUCAACGGCAGCCCGUUUUCCGGAAGCGAAACAGCGAAAAUGAAGUCCCUGGCGGAGCGUUUCUGCCUGCAUCGAUCUCGUCCCUCUCCGUCUCCAUCUGCACCUGCGCGCGCUUCCGGGCCAGCGUACAUGCCUGCCUUAGCGUGGGGUGAGUAUCUGCGGGCACUGCACCGCUGUGGCGCCUCCUUGGCGGAGAUGCAAGAGGCGACAGAUCGCAUCACCGACAAGGCCUGUACGCGCCAUGCCGAUUCGCUUCUCUCCAGCACGCACGUGUGGAACGCGUACCUCGCCUGCAGUCCGGGCAGCCACGCCAAAGAGCUAUAUGAGAAGAAUUUGCGCGCCUACAAGGUAAGAGAAACGCCCGCCACCACGGCAGCGGUCAUGAUCGCGCUUCUGCGAGAGGGAACGGCAGAGAGCCGCGUCGAGGCCCGUACUCUGUGGAAGCGCCUCCAGCACGUGCACGUAUCCGGCAAGAUGGUCCUGCACACCAGCAGUACAUUGAUGGCCUAUAUUCGACUGCUGGAGGUGGAGGGCCAGGCAGACGAGCUCUUGGAGCUUCUUACCUCCUUUGAGGGGCUGUACGAGCCGUUUGGCGUGGCACCGGAGUCUUUUUCACGAGCGGUGGAGGCGGUGCAUCAGCGGGGCCGUGGCAGCUCAGGGAUCGCAAGGGGCCUCGAUCUCGUUGCCCAUAUCUGCCACGCACACCCCUUCCUCGUACCGCCACUAGUGCGCUACGCUGUGGUGCAGGCGAUUGAGCGGACUACGACGGCCGCUGCAUAUGCGAAAGUCGCUGUGACCAGCCACAAUGACAGAGUGGAGGCUUCGCUCCCUGCCGCAAGUCCGUUAGCGGCAGCGGCGCUUGAGUUCUCUGCCGACGACCUCGCUGCGACACUCUGAUCGGGCGCCGUCGGACGCGAUUGCGGGCGCUUAUACGCGGUGGCUUAGCGCCGCUCCCAUGCGCUGCGCAUGCCGGCUUUUUCCUCUUUGCCCUUCACACGCAAUCAAUCGAUUUCACAGCGGUAAAGCGAGGCCCUCCCGCUCCUGUAGCUCUGCGUACUGUGCAGCGCUCACCUGCUCUCUUAAUAUGCCCUGCUGCCCCCCCCCCCUCCUCCUUCCGUAGCGAGGGGAUCCUCUGUCUGGCGCGCAUGCUUGCCGGGCGCACGCACAUCGCUGUCCUACGGGCGCCCGAUUUCUGUCACGCAGAGUAUGUGCGCGGUGUGCUUGCCCCACCAGCCUUCAGGCGUGGGUGUGUCACAGCCACUCCGUCUACCACCUUCCCCCCUCUCUCCCGCCGACACCGCCGGCGUCCGUUUCGUGCAG